UAUACGACCGUACCGCAAACCGACACUGGUGCGCGAGAUGAGUAUUCUAAGGCGCUUGAGAGAACUCAGGAGAAGGAACUCGGCAAAUUGACACCGUAACUUCGGAAGAAGGUGUGCCCUAUUAGUGUGUAGUGAACAACGAAGCAUGAAUGGGUUGCAAAAAAUCGGUGGCUGCGACUGUUUAUUAAAAACACAGCACUCUGCAAACACGAAAGUGGACGUAUAGGGUGUGACGCCUGCCCGGUGCUGGAAGAUUAAAUGAUGGGGUGCAAGCUCUUGAUUGAAGUCCCAGUAAACGGCGGCCGUAACAAUAACGGUCCUAAGGUAGCGAAAUUCCAUGUCGGGUAAGUUCCGACCUGCACGAAUGGCGUAACGAUGGCCACACUGUCUCCUCCUGAGACUCAGCGAAGUUGAAAUGUUUGUGAUGAUGCAAUCUCCCCGCGGAAAGACGGAAAGACCCCAUGAACCUUUACUGUAGCUUUGUAUUGGACUUUGAACAGAUCUGUGUAGGAUAGGUGGGAGGCUUUGAAGCAGGGUCGCUAGAUCUUGUGGAGCCAACGUUGAAAUACCACCCUGGUGUGUUUGAGGUUCUAACCUAGGUCCAUUAUCUGGAUCGGGGACAGUGCAUGGUAGGCAGUUUGACUGGGGCGGUCUCCUCCCAAAGCGUAACGGAGGAGUUCGAAGGUACGCUAGUUACGGUCGGACAUCGUGACGAUAGUGCAAUGGCAUAAGCGUGCUUAACUGCGAGACUGACAAGUCGAGCAGAUGCGAAAGCAGGACAUAGUGAUCCGGUGGUUCUGUAUGGAAGGGCCAUCGCUCAACGGAUAAAAGGUACUCUGGGGAUAACAGGCUGAUACCGCCCAAGAGUUCAUAUCGACGGCGGUGUUUGGCACCUCGAUGUCGGCUCAUCUCAUCCUGGGGCUGUAGCCGGUCCCAAGGGUAUGGCUGUUCGCCAUUUAAAGAGGUAUGUGAGCUGGGUUUAAAACGUCGUGAGAUAGUUUGGUCCCUAUCUUCCGUGGGCGCUGCAGAUUUGAGGAAGCCUGCUCCUAGUACGAGAGGACCGGAGUGGACACACCUCUGGUGUAUCGGUUGUCACGCCAGUGGCAUUGCCGAGUAGCUAAGUGUGGAAGAGAUAACCGCUGAAAGCAUCUAAGCGGGAAACUCGUUUCAAGAUGAGAUCUGCCGGGGCCUUGAGCCCCCUAAAGAGUCGUUCAAGACCAGGACGUUGAUAGGUCAGGUGUGGAA
RNAcentral lists this ribosomal RNA (1245 nucleotides) under metagenome. RNAcentral describes it as "bacterial LSU rRNA". It matches the Rfam family "Bacterial large subunit ribosomal RNA", at positions 1635 to 2872 of the family's 2925-position model. The record is from RNAcentral.